Molecule: ribosomal RNA, 433 nt
Filed under: uncultured bacterium
Lineage: Bacteria
Description: partial 16S ribosomal RNA
Rfam family: Bacterial small subunit ribosomal RNA
Source: RNAcentral
AACGAACGCUGGCGGCAUGCCUAACACAUGCAAGUCGAACGAGACCUUCGGGUCUAGUUGCGCACGGGUGCGUAACGAGUGGGAACCUGCCCUUAGGUUAGGAAUAACUCCCCGAAAGGGGUGCUAAUACAGGAUAAUGUCUUCGGGCCUAAGAUUUCUCGCCUUGGGGUGGGCCCUCGUUGGUUUAGCGAGUUGGUAGGGUAAAAGCAUGCCAAUGCGAGGUUCCAUAGCUGGUCUGAGAGGAUGAGAAACCACACUGGGCCUAAGACACGGACCAGUCCGGGACGGGACACAGGAGAAGCGAAUAUUGGAAAAUGGGCCAAAGUCUGACCAAGCAGUGCGGGGUAAGAGGGGAAGGCGGUAGGAUUGUAAAGCUGUGUGACCCGGGGUGAGAGUGACGGUACUGGGAGAAUAAGCUCCGGCUAACUACGUG